AUUGAACGCUGGCGGCAUGCUUUACACAUGCAAGUCGAACGGUAACAGGCCGCAAGGUGCUGACGAGUGGCGAACGGGUGAGUAAUGCAUCGGAACGUGCCCAGUCGUGGGGGAUAACUACUCGAAAGAGUAGCUAAUACCGCAUACGAUCUAUGGAUGAAAGCGGGGGACCGUAAGGCCUCGCGCGAUUGGAGCGGCCGAUGUCAGAUUAGGUAGUUGGUGGGGUAAAGGCUCACCAAGCCAACGAUCUGUAGCUGGUCUGAGAGGACGACCAGCCACACUGGGACUGAGACACGGCCCAGACCCCUGCGGGAGGCAGCAGUGGGGAAUUUUGGACAAUGGGCGCAAGCCUGAUCCAGCAAUGCCGCGUGCAGGAAGAAGGCCUUCGGGUUGUAAACUGCUUUUGUACGGAACGAAACGGCUCUGGUUAAUACCCGGGGCUAAUGACGGUACCGUAAGAAUAAGCACCGGCUAACUACGUG
RNAcentral lists this ribosomal RNA (482 nucleotides) under uncultured bacterium. RNAcentral's name for it is "partial 16S ribosomal RNA". It matches the Rfam family "Bacterial small subunit ribosomal RNA", at positions 30 to 507 of the family's 1533-position model. The record is from RNAcentral.